AGGCAGCAGUGGGGGAAUAUUGCACAAUGGGGGAAACCCUGAUGCAGCCAUGCCGCGUGUGUGAAGAAGGACCUUCGGGUUGUAAAGCACUUUCAGUAGGGAGGAAGGUAGUGUAGUUAACACCUGCAUUAUUUGACGUUACCUACAGAAGAAAGCACCGGCUAACUCCGUGCCAGCAGCCGCGGUAAUACGGAGGGUGCGAGCGUUAAUCGGAAUUACUGGGCGUAAAGCGCAUGCAGGCGGCCUGUUAAGUCAGAUGUGAAAGCCCGGGGCUUAACCUCGGAAUUGCAUUUGAAACUGGCAGGCUAGAGUCUUGUAGAGGGGGGUAGGAAUUUCAGGUGUAGCGGUGAAAAUGCGUAGAGAUCUGAAGGAAUACCAGUGGCGAAGGCGGCCCCCUGGACAAAGACUGACGCUCAGAUGCGAAAGCGUGGGGAGCAAACAGGAUUAGAUACCCUGGUAG
RNAcentral lists this ribosomal RNA (460 nucleotides) under uncultured bacterium. Its description in RNAcentral is "bacterial SSU rRNA". It matches the Rfam family "Bacterial small subunit ribosomal RNA", at positions 346 to 793 of the family's 1533-position model. The record is from RNAcentral.